AGCGUUGCUCGGAAUCACUGGGUGUAAAGCGCACGUAGGCGGCUUUCUAAGUCAGGGGUGAAAUCCUGGAGCUCAACUCCAGAACUGCCUUUGAUACUGGAGAGCUUGAGUCCGGAAGAGGUGAGUGGAACUCCGAGUGUAGAGGUGAAAUUCGUAGAUAUUCGGAAGAACACCAGUGGCGAAGGCGGCUCACUGGUCCGGUACUGACGCUGAGGUGCGAAAGCGUGGGGAGCAAACAGG
Molecule: ribosomal RNA, 240 nt
Filed under: uncultured bacterium
Lineage: Bacteria
Description: partial 16S ribosomal RNA
Rfam family: Bacterial small subunit ribosomal RNA
Source: RNAcentral